CCUACGGGUGGCAGCAGUGGGGAAUAUUGGACAAUGGGGGCAACCCUGAUCCAGCCAUGCCGCGUGUGUGAAGAAGGCCCUCGGGUUGUAAAGCACUUUCAGUGAGGAAGAACGCCUGGUGGUUAAUACCCAUCAGGAAAGACAUCACUCACAGAAGAAGCACCGGCUAACUCCGUGCCAGCAGCCGCGGUAAUACGGAGGGUGCGAGCGUUAAUCGGAAUUACUGGGCGUAAAGCGCGCGUAGGUGGCUUGAUAAGCCGGUUGUGAAAGCCCCGGGCUCAACCUGGGAACGGCAUCCGGAACUGUCAAGCUAGAGUGUAGGAGAGGAAGGUAGAAUUCCCGGUGUAGCGGUGAAAUGCGUAGAGAUCGGGAGGAAUACCAGUGGCGAAGGCGGCCUUCUGGACUGACACUGACACUGAGGUGCGAAAGCGUGGGUAGCAAACAGGAUUAGAUACCCCUGUAGUC
This 465-nucleotide ribosomal RNA is filed under the name Vreelandella stevensii. Its description in RNAcentral is "partial 16S ribosomal RNA". It matches the Rfam family "Bacterial small subunit ribosomal RNA", at positions 338 to 795 of the family's 1533-position model. Lineage: Bacteria; Pseudomonadati; Pseudomonadota; Gammaproteobacteria; Oceanospirillales; Halomonadaceae. The record is from RNAcentral.